This 253-nucleotide ribosomal RNA is filed under the name uncultured bacterium. RNAcentral's name for it is "partial 16S ribosomal RNA". It matches the Rfam family "Bacterial small subunit ribosomal RNA", at positions 524 to 776 of the family's 1533-position model. The record is from RNAcentral.
UACAGAGGGGGCGAGCGUUGUUCGGAAUUACUGGGCGUAAAGGGCGCGUAGGCGGCCCGCUAAGUCGAACGUGAAAUCCCCGGGCUCAACCCGGGAACUGCGUCCGAUACUGGCAGGCUUGAAUCCGGGAGAGGGAUGUGGAAUUCCUGGUGUAGCGGUGAAAUGCGCAGAUAUCAGGAAGAACACCAAUGGCGAAAGCAGCUCUCUGGGACGGUACUGACGCUGAGACGCGAAAGCGUGGGGAGCGAACAGG